RNAcentral lists this ribosomal RNA (254 nucleotides) under uncultured bacterium. Its description in RNAcentral is "partial 16S ribosomal RNA". It matches the Rfam family "Bacterial small subunit ribosomal RNA", at positions 524 to 776 of the family's 1533-position model. The record is from RNAcentral.
UACAGAGGUCUCAAGCGUUGUUCGGAUUUAUUGGGCGUAAAGAGCUCGUAGGCGGCUUAGCAAGUCGGGUGUGAAAACUCCAGGCUCAACCUGGAGACGCCACUCGAGACUGCUAUGGCUAGAGUCCGGUAGGGGACCACGGAAUUCCUGGUGUAGCGGUGAAAUGCGCAGAUAUCAGGAGGAACACCGGUGGCGAAGGCGGUGGUCUGGGCCGGCACUGACGCUGAGGAGCGAAAGCGUGGGGAGCAAACAGG